AAGCAAUCCCUGAGUACAGUGGCGACCGGGUGAGUAACACGUGACUACCUACCCUUGAGUGGGGGAUAACCUCGGGAAACCGAGGCUAAUACCGCAUAAUAUCGAAAGAUUAAAGGAGAAAUCCGCUUUUGGAGGGGGUCGCGGCUGAUUAGCUAGUUGGUAAGGUAAUGGCUUACCAAGGCGAAGAUCGGUAUCCGGCCUGAGAGGGCGCACGGACACACUGGAACUGAAACACGGUCCAG
This 242-nucleotide ribosomal RNA is filed under the name uncultured bacterium. Its description in RNAcentral is "partial 16S ribosomal RNA". It matches the Rfam family "Bacterial small subunit ribosomal RNA", at positions 77 to 334 of the family's 1533-position model. The record is from RNAcentral.